Molecule: ribosomal RNA, 468 nt
Filed under: uncultured bacterium
Lineage: Bacteria
Description: partial 16S ribosomal RNA
Rfam family: Bacterial small subunit ribosomal RNA
Source: RNAcentral
GAUGAACGCUGGCGGCGUGCUUAACACAUGCAAGUCGAACGGAAAGGCCAUGACAGAGUGGGGUGCGCGAGAGGCGAGGGGGUGAGUGACACGCGAGUAACCUACCCGUGGCUUAGGGAUAACUUCAAGAGGGUGAGGAGAAUAAAGGAUCGGAGAAUCUGGUACAAGGGGAGGGUAGGACAGUUUCGGCGGUGUGGAAUGGAGGCGCGGCUUAUCAGCUUGUUGGGGGGGUAGUGUCUUACCAGGGCAUGGGCGGGUCGACGGCCCGAGAGGGUGGCGGGCCACGUUGCGACUGAGCUACGGCCCAGACCCCUACGCGACGCAGCAGUGGGGUAUAUUGCACAAUGGGCUGAAGCCUGAUGCAGCAACGCCGCGUGCGGUAUGACGGCCAUCGGGUUGUAAUCCGCUUUCGCCUAUGACGAAGCGUGAGUGACGGUAAUGGGUAAAGAAGCACCGGCUAACUACGUG